GAUGAACGCUGGCGGCGUGCCUAAUACAUGCAAGUCGAGCGAACAGACGAGGAGCUUGCUCCUCUGACGUUAGCGGCGGACGGGUGAGUAACACGUGGAUAACCUACCUAUAAUACUGGGAUAACUUCGGGAAACCGGAGCUAAUACCGGAUAAUAUAUUGAACCGCAUGGUUCAAUAGUGAAAGACGGUUUUGCUGUCUCUUAUAGAUUGAUCCUCGCCGCAUUUGCUAGUUGGUAAGGUAACGGCUUACCAAGGCUACGAUGCGUAGCCGACCUGAGAGGGUGAUCGGCCACACUGGAACUGAGACACGGUCCAGACUACUACGGGAGGCAGCAGUAGGGAAUCUUCCGCAAUGGGCGAAAGCAUGACGGAGCAACGCCGCGUGAGUGAUGAAGGUCUUCGGAUCGUAAAACUCUGUUAUUAGGGAAGAACAAAUGUGUAAGUAACUAUGCACGUCUUGACGGUACCUAAUCAGAAAGCCACGGCUAACUACGUG
This 497-nucleotide ribosomal RNA is filed under the name uncultured bacterium. Its description in RNAcentral is "partial 16S ribosomal RNA". It matches the Rfam family "Bacterial small subunit ribosomal RNA", at positions 28 to 507 of the family's 1533-position model. The record is from RNAcentral.